This 1494-nucleotide ribosomal RNA is filed under the name Shigella sonnei. RNAcentral's name for it is "bacterial LSU rRNA". It matches the Rfam family "Bacterial large subunit ribosomal RNA", at positions 1451 to 2925 of the family's 2925-position model. Lineage: Bacteria; Pseudomonadati; Pseudomonadota; Gammaproteobacteria; Enterobacterales; Enterobacteriaceae. The record is from RNAcentral.
UUACUGCGAAGGGGGGACGGAGAAGGCUAUGUUGGCCGGGCGACGGUUGUCCCGGUUUAAGCGUGUAGGCUGGUUUUCCAGGCAAAUCCGGAAAAUCAAGGCUGAGGCGUGAUGACGAGGCACUACGGUGCUGAAGCAACAAAUGCCCUGCUUCCAGGAAAAGCCUCUAAGCAUCAGGUAACAUCAAAUCGUACCCCAAACCGACACAGGUGGUCAGGUAGAGAAUACCAAGGCGCUUGAGAGAACUCGGGUGAAGGAACUAGGCAAAAUGGUGCCGUAACUUCGGGAGAAGGCACGCUGAUAUGUAGGUGAAGUCCCUCGCGGAUGGAGCUGAAAUCAGUCGAAGAUACCAGCUGGCUGCAACUGUUUAUUAAAAACACAGCACUGUGCAAACACGAAAGUGGACGUAUACGGUGUGACGCCUGCCCGGUGCCGGAAGGUUAAUUGAUGGGGUCAGCGCAAGCGAAGCUCUUGAUCGAAGCCCCGGUAAACGGCGGCCGUAACUAUAACGGUCCUAAGGUAGCGAAAUUCCUUGUCGGGUAAGUUCCGACCUGCACGAAUGGCGUAAUGAUGGCCAGGCUGUCUCCACCCGAGACUCAGUGAAAUUGAACUCGCUGUGAAGAUGCAGUGUACCCGCGGCAAGACGGAAAGACCCCGUGAACCUUUACUAUAGCUUGACACUGAACAUUGAGCCUUGAUGUGUAGGAUAGGUGGGAGGCUUUGAAGUGUGGACGCCAGUCUGCAUGGAGUCGACCUUGAAAUACCACCCUUUAAUGUUUGAUGUUCUAACGUGGACCCGUGAUCCGGGUUGCGGACAGUGUCUGGUGGGUAGUUUGACUGGGGCGGUCUCCUCCUAAAGAGUAACGGAGGAGCACGAAGGUUGGCUAAUCCUGGUCGGACAUCAGGAGGUUAGUGCAAUGGCAUAAGCCAGCUUGACUGCGAGCGUGACGGCGCGAGCAGGUGCGAAAGCAGGUCAUAGUGAUCCGGUGGUUCUGAAUGGAAGGGCCAUCGCUCAACGGAUAAAAGGUACUCCGGGGAUAACAGGCUGAUACCGCCCAAGAGUUCAUAUCGACGGCGGUGUUUGGCACCUCGAUGUCGGCUCAUCACAUCCUGGGGCUGAAGUAGGUCCCAAGGGUAUGGCUGUUCGCCAUUUAAAGUGGUACGCGAGCUGGGUUUAGAACGUCGUGAGACAGUUCGGUCCCUAUCUGCCGUGGGCGAUGGAGAACUGAGGGGGGCUGCUCCUAGUACGAGAGGACCGGAGUGGACGCAUCACUGGUGUUCGGGUUGUCAUGCCAAUGGCACUGCCCGGUAGCUAAAUGCGGAAGAGAUAAGUGCUGAAAGCAUCUAAGCACGAAACUUGCCCCGAGAUGAGUUCUCCCUGACCCUUUAAGGGUCCUGAAGGAACGUUGAAGACGACGACGUUGAUAGGCCGGGUGUGUAAGCGCAGCGAUGCGUUGAGCUAACCGGUACUAAUGAACCGUGAGGCUUAACCUU